Molecule: ribosomal RNA, 502 nt
Filed under: uncultured bacterium
Lineage: Bacteria
Description: bacterial SSU rRNA
Rfam family: Bacterial small subunit ribosomal RNA
Source: RNAcentral
GAUGAACGCUAGCGGCAGGCCUAAUACAUGCAAGUCGGGCGGCAAGUUGAGGAGUAAUCUGAGACCUAGAGCGGCGGACGGGUGCGUAACGCGUAUGCAACCUGCCCCUUACCGGGGGAUAGCCCGGGGAAACCCGGAUUAAUACCCCAUAGGAUAACACUGUGGCAUCACGGAGUUAUUAAAGAUUUAUCGGUAAGGGAUGGGCAUGCGUAGGAUUAGUUAGUUGGCGGGGUAACGGCCCACCAAGACUUUGAUCCGUAGGGGUUCUGAGAGGAAGGUCCCCCACACUGGCACUGAGAUACGGGCCAGACUCCUACGGGAGGCAGCAGUAGGGAAUAUUGGGCAAUGGGCGGGAGCCUGACCCAGCCAUGCCGCGUGCAGGAAGAAGGCGUUAUGCGUUGUAAACUGCUUUUAUACGGGAAGAAAAGGCCCAUGCGUGGGACAUUGCCGGUACCGUAUGAAUAAGCACCGGCUAACUCCGUGCCAGCCGCCGCCGUAAGAC